Molecule: ribosomal RNA, 253 nt
Filed under: uncultured bacterium
Lineage: Bacteria
Description: partial 16S ribosomal RNA
Rfam family: Bacterial small subunit ribosomal RNA
Source: RNAcentral
UACGUAGGUGGCAAGCGUUGUCCGGAAUUAUUGGGCGUAAAGAGCUUGUAGGCGGUUUGUCGCGUCUGCUGUGAAAAUCCGGGGCUCAACCCCGGACUUGCAGUGGGUACGGGCAGACUAGAGUGAUGUAGGGGAGACUGGAAUUCCUGGUGUAGCGGUGAAAUGCGCAGAUAUCAGGAGGAACACCGAUGGCGAAGGCAGGUCUCUGGGCAUUAACUGACGCUGAGGAGCGAAAGCAUGGGGAGCGAACAGG